Molecule: ribosomal RNA, 335 nt
Filed under: Triticum aestivum (bread wheat)
Lineage: Eukaryota; Viridiplantae; Streptophyta; Magnoliopsida; Poales; Poaceae
Description: partial small subunit ribosomal RNA
Source: RNAcentral
UAACGAAUGUGAAUGCAGAAAUAUGUUGGAAGGCUCAUUUGUCAUUGAUAUUGGAUAGAACCAGGGGUUCAAAUACCAGCAGCCAACACCGCUAAUUUUCUCUUAAACCAACAUGCCCUUCUUUCAAAAUGUUUAAAAAUAUCAUCAUUCGUGCUUUCGUCUGACAGUAAUCUCCAGUACAGUGUAUUAACUUGAAAAAGAGACGAACUAAAUCAAGCUAGGCAAUAGAAGAGCAAGAGGAGCUUACCCAUCUUCUUCUUCCCGCGCUUCUCCAGAUGAACGCCAGCGGCUCGGCUCGCGACAGCGUUUUGGGGCAGGCGCGCGGGUAGCGCCGU